Molecule: ribosomal RNA, 500 nt
Filed under: uncultured bacterium
Lineage: Bacteria
Description: partial 16S ribosomal RNA
Rfam family: Bacterial small subunit ribosomal RNA
Source: RNAcentral
AUUGAACGCUGGCGGAAUGCUUUACACAUGCAAGUCGAACGGCAGCACGGACUUCGGUCUGGUGGCGAGUGGCGAACGGGUGAGUAAUACAUCGGAACGUGCCCAAUCGUGGGGGAUAACGUAGCGAAAGCUACGCUAAUACCGCAUACGAUCUAAGGAUGAAAGCGGGGGAUCGCAAGACCUCGCGCGAUUGGAGCGGCCGAUGGCAGAUUUGGUAGUUGGUAGGGUAAAGGCCUACCAAGCCGACGAUCUGUAGCUGGUCUGAGAGGAUGAUCAGCCACACUGGGACUGAGACACGGCCCAGACUCCUACGGGAGGCAGCAGUGGGGAAUUUUGGACAAUGGACGCAAGUCUGAUCCAGCCAUUCCGCGUGCAGGAUGAAGGCCCUCGGGUUGUAAACUGCCUUUGUACAGAACGAAAAGGCUCUGGUUAAUACCUAGGGCUCAUGACGGUACUGUAAGAAUAAGCACCGGCUAACUACGUGCCAGCAGCCGCCGCAG